RNAcentral lists this ribosomal RNA (459 nucleotides) under uncultured bacterium. RNAcentral describes it as "partial 16S ribosomal RNA". It matches the Rfam family "Bacterial small subunit ribosomal RNA", at positions 338 to 795 of the family's 1533-position model. The record is from RNAcentral.
CCUACGGGGUGCAGCAGUGAGGAAUAUUGGUCAAUGGUCGGGAGACUGAACCAGCCAAGCCGCGUGAGGGAGGAAGGUACAGAGUAUCGUAAACCUCUUUUGUCAGGUAACAAAGGCGGGGACGUGUCCCCGGAUGAGUGUACCUGAAGAAAAAGCAUCGCCUAACUCCGUUCCAGCAGCCGCGUUAAUACGGGGGAUGCGCGCGUUAUCCGGAUUUAUUGGGUUUAAAGGUUGCGCAGGCGGUCUGUUAAGUCAACGGUAAAGGCCCGGGGCUCACCCCCGGCCCGCCGUUGAAACUGGCAGUCUCGAGUUGGAGAGAAGUAUGCGGAAUGCGCGGUGUAGCGGUGAAAUGCAUAGAUAUCGCGCAGAACUCCGAUUGCGAAGGCAGCAUGCCGGCUCCAAACUGACGCUGAGGCACGAAAGCGUGGGUAUCGAACAGGAUUAGAUACCCUAGUAGUC